GGAAAAAGGAUGGAGAAGAAGUCAGUAGAGUUGAAAUGUUUAUAAAAACUCGCUAAGGUCGUCCUUGUAGGAAAGGAAAAGCAGUGGACAAAGAAACAUUGGAUACUAUUUCUAAGCUUGAAGGAUCUAUGCAAAACUCAUCAACUGAAAAUGUGGAAAAAACUUUUGAAUCAAUGUUUG
Molecule: long non-coding RNA, 180 nt
Organism: Vigna unguiculata (cowpea)
Lineage: Eukaryota; Viridiplantae; Streptophyta; Magnoliopsida; Fabales; Fabaceae
Source: RefSeq, a predicted model, not a curated record